CUUCUUUUUACGAUAUAUACAAGUCAUCUGUGAUCUUGCCUAUACAGAUUCGUCUCAUCACCCACUGCCUAGAACUUCGGGUUCUGCCUAGAACACAGAACUAUUUGUAGUUCUUUGCAAGUUUUGCAUAUUUGCCUCUUUGAUCCCAUGGUCCCAUUUACCUGGAGACUUCCCUUCUUCUGCCUGACUGUUCUCCCCCUUUCACUCGCCCCCACUGUUAGUCAUUUACUGUUCGUCUUCAGCUUAAUUUCAUUUUCUCCAUUUCUUCUGGCAUGACUACUCCAGUGCUGGCACUCCUGAUUCCUGUCCAACAUUCCUGUGUCAUGGUGAGCGAGAUGUCCUUCAGCAACACUCCAAGCUUCAGCUCUCCUGCUAGUUCCAUCAUUUCAUGAAGAUGAUAUAAAUAGAAGCAGAGCAGCAGAUAGUGAAACCAACAGAAGCCAGAGAAUACGCACUGGGGAACUGAGCAUCGACCAGAUUACGGAGGUCCUAUUUCUUCUUCACAAUAGAAAUCGCCACCAUCAUGCAAGUUUUGGAUUCCCUGGGGUUAGUGCAUUCUGGUGCAAGCACCCCUCCCUGGGAUGCUGGGUAAAGGGUUGAAUUUUAUGAUAAGAUAAUGUGAAGCCAUAGUUAAAAUAAGAGAUAACAUUGAAGGAGGCUCCAUGAAUGCAAUCAAAAGAUUAUUUUCAAAUCCAGUAACAAAAAAUUUUAUUAACAAUACUAUUUUACCAGACUAGUUAGUAUUUAUUGAUAACUUAGUACAUAGUAGACUAUUGUGUUUUAUACAUCUUAUAUCUUUUAUUUCUCAAGUGCAUUCAGUUUCAAGCCUGUGUUGCUAGAGUGAUAGCAAAAAGAGAUGAAAACGGCAGCCCACAAGUAAGCUUCUGGAAGAUUGACUUUUUUGUUGAAUUUGCAGUUGUUUGACUUAAUGCAGCAAACCAUCUGCUUUCUUGGGCAUCCUAUGGGCACACAUCUUGGCCAGGUCACUUCAGACCUCUCACUUUAUAUUUGAUCUUGUAAUGUAGAGCCUGCAAAUGAUUCUGAGGCUCACUUUUUCUCUUUAAGACACACAGAACCACUUAAAACAUGUCAUUAUUUUCUGUUUCUGUUCUUUUUCCAUCCCACCUUAAGAAUAAUGAGUAUAAACCAAGAAAUCUUAUUUUAGGCUUCCUAAUUCUUAAUCCAG
RNAcentral lists this long non-coding RNA (1186 nucleotides) under Felis catus (domestic cat). Its description in RNAcentral is "lncRNA (ENSFCAG00000052759.1)". The record is from RNAcentral. Lineage: Eukaryota; Metazoa; Chordata; Mammalia; Carnivora; Felidae.